UCGUGCUAGGUGGGGCGCUAGCGGUGCCCUGUAACCCGCAAUCCGCUCCAGCGGGGCUGAAUUCCCUUUUCGAGGGGUGGACGUCCGCGGACAGCAUCCUGCGUGUGGCGGUGAUGGUCUGGUCCCAAUGCGAUGGAGACCCGUGAACCAGGUCAGGUCCGGAAGGAAGCAGCCUUAAGCGGUCACCUCCAGGCGCACCGGGGGUGCCGGAUCGGAGUCACCCACAGGACCGCCCCGCGGGCCGACACAACAAGGAGGGGUGCACGA
Molecule: signal recognition particle RNA, 267 nt
Filed under: Acidobacteriota bacterium
Lineage: Bacteria; Pseudomonadati; Acidobacteriota
Description: signal recognition particle sRNA large type
Rfam family: Bacterial large signal recognition particle RNA
About the family: The signal recognition particle (SRP) is a universally conserved ribonucleoprotein involved in the co-translational targeting of proteins to membranes. Archaeal SRP consists of a 7S RNA and homologues of the eukaryotic SRP19 and SRP54 proteins.
Source: RNAcentral